Molecule: microRNA precursor, 61 nt
Filed under: Bactrocera dorsalis (oriental fruit fly)
Lineage: Eukaryota; Metazoa; Arthropoda; Insecta; Diptera; Tephritidae
Description: microRNA bdo-mir-281 precursor
Gene: bdo-mir-281
Rfam family: mir-46/mir-47/mir-281 microRNA precursor family
About the family: The hairpin precursors (represented here) are predicted based on base pairing and cross-species conservation -- their extents are not known. In this case the mature sequences are expressed from the 3' arms of the hairpin precursors.
Source: miRBase by way of RNAcentral
AAGAGAGCUAUCCAUCGACAGUCAAGUAUUAUAAUAUACUGUCAUGGAAUUGCUCUUUUUG